RNAcentral lists this ribosomal RNA (403 nucleotides) under uncultured bacterium. RNAcentral's name for it is "bacterial SSU rRNA". It matches the Rfam family "Bacterial small subunit ribosomal RNA", at positions 355 to 774 of the family's 1533-position model. The record is from RNAcentral.
UGGGGAAUCUUGCACAAUGGGGGCAACCCUGAUGCAGCGACGCCGCGUGAGCGAUGAAGCCCUUCGGGGCGUAAAGCUCUUUCGACCGGAACGAUAAUGACGGUACCGGGAGAAGAAGCUGCGGCUAACUACGUGCCAGCAGCCGCGGUAAUACGUAGGCAGCAAGCGUUGUUCGGAGUUACUGGGCGUAAAGAGUGCGUAGGCGGUUUUUCUAAGUUCGGUGUGAAAUCUCCCGGCUUAACUGGGAGGGUGCGCCGAAGACUGGGAAGCUGGAGUGUGGGAAAGGCAGGCGGAAUUCCUGGUGUAGCGGUGAAAUGCGUAGAUAUCAGGAGGAACACCGGCGGUGUAGACGGCUUGCUAGACCAUAACUGACGCUGAGGCACAAAAGCGUGGGUAGCAAACA